Molecule: ribosomal RNA, 334 nt
Filed under: Dalbulus maidis (maize leafhopper)
Lineage: Eukaryota; Metazoa; Arthropoda; Insecta; Hemiptera; Cicadellidae
Description: partial 12S ribosomal RNA
Source: RNAcentral
AAUCAUUAGAAUGGUAUUAGUUAUGAUCUUUUAAGCUCAAAUAACUUGGCGGUAAAAUAUCUGUAUAGAGGAACCUGUACAUUAAUUGAUAAUCCACGAUAAACUAUACUUUGUAAAUAGUAUUUGUAUAUCUCUAUAUUUUGGAAUGUUUUGUUAAAAUAUUUUCUUUUUCUUAAGAUUUAUGUUAGGUCAAGAUGCAGUUUUUAUAAAGUUUUUAUGGGUUACUUUAAUUUUAAAAUAUUUUAGAAUUAUUUAAUAUUUUGAAAUUGUUAAUUAGGAUUUAUUAGUAAUUUCAAUUAAUUAAUUGUUAUGAAUAUGCACUGUUUUAUGCACA